This is a ribosomal RNA of 377 nucleotides. It matches the Rfam family "Eukaryotic small subunit ribosomal RNA", at positions 582 to 975 of the family's 1831-position model.
AUUCCAGCUCCAAUAGCGUAUAUUAAAGUUGUUGCAGUUAAAAAGCUCGUAGUUGAACUUCUGAUAGUUGAUUUGGCUGGCUUCGGUCGCCUUGUUGGCUGUCAUCCGCUUGGGAAUUUCGUUCGGUCUUCAUUGAUUGGCGGGGGGAUCAAGCAUUUUACUUUGAAAAAAUUAGAGUGUUCAAGGCAGGCUAUCGCCAUGAAUACACAAGCAUGGAAUAAUGGAAUAGGACUCUCAGUCAUUUUAUUGGUUAUUGACUGAAAGUAAUGAUUAAUAGGGACAGUUGGGGGCAUUCGUAUUUAAUUGUCAGAGGUGAAAUUCUUGGAUUUAUUAAAGACGAACUUAUGCGAAAGCAUUUGCCAAGGAUGUUUUCAUCA